RNAcentral lists this ribosomal RNA (484 nucleotides) under uncultured bacterium. Its description in RNAcentral is "partial 16S ribosomal RNA". It matches the Rfam family "Bacterial small subunit ribosomal RNA", at positions 30 to 507 of the family's 1533-position model. The record is from RNAcentral.
AUUGAACGCUGGCGGCAGGCCUAACACAUGCAAGUCGAGCGGAUGAAGGGAGGUUGCUCCUGGAUUCAGCGGCGGACGGGUGGGUAAUGCCUAGGAAUCUGCCUGGUAGUGGGGGAUAACGUGCUGAAACGGGCGCUGAUACCGCAUACGUCCUGUGGGAGAAAGUGGGGGAGCCUCGGACCGCACGCUAUCAGAUGAGCCUAGGUCGGAUUAGCUAGUUGGUGGGGUAGAGGCCUACCAAGGCGACUAUCCGUAACUGGUCUGAGAGGAAGAGCCGUCACCCUGGCAGUGAGACACGGUCCAGACUCCUACAGGAGGCAGCAGUGGGGAAUCUUGGGCAAUGGGCGAAAGCCUGAUCCAGCCAUGCCGCGUGUGUGAAGAAGGUCUUCGGAUUGUAAAGCACUUUAAGUUGGGAGGAAGGGCAGUAAUUUAAUACCUUGCUGUUUUGACGUUACCAACAGAAUAAGCACCGGCUAACUUCGUG